AACAGAUGUCAUUAAAUAGAAAUCUCUUCUGUUUUUAGGAAGCAUCUUCACUGCCUUUAAAAGAAGUGCCUGGGCCUGUGAAAGAUGCAGCAUCCCAGUGUAGUUGAGUCAUGGCACCUAGGAAACCAGGAACUGGAAGGCUGUUUUCAAUAAAAAACAUUCAUUCCAAGAUAGAACUCAGAGGAAAUUUUGAAAGGCCUCAAGUGCCAUCAAGGAAAUCUGCCUUCAUUGUCUUCAAAGGAUGCUACAGCGUGAAGCACGUUACUAAAUAAAGAUAUUACUCAGCAUGUAUUUGCAUUAUUUUUGCAUGUGCUUCUCAGCACAGUACACAACUAUAGUGAACUAAGACUUUUUAGGUAUUGC
Molecule: long non-coding RNA, 363 nt
Filed under: Phasianus colchicus (ring-necked pheasant)
Lineage: Eukaryota; Metazoa; Chordata; Aves; Galliformes; Phasianidae
Description: lncRNA (ENSPCLG00000002286.1)
Source: RNAcentral